GCAGAUUCUCCUGUUCCUUCCCUGGUGGCCUCAGUCUUUUGGCGGCGCCCUCUGCUGGCCACUAUGAAGUGCAGGAAAAAACAGUCUGAAGAUAGACGCUUGGUGGAUCUGGGGAAGGGGACAAGAGGCAGAGAAACAAGUGAAAACUGGGAACUGAGAGCAGCGCUGGGCUGGCCAUAAACAAGCGAGGCAUGGUGACGCCUUCCUGGAGGCCCCCUUCCAGACCCUGCCUGGGUAAAGAGGACUCCCAGAAGCAGUGAUUGAAGGCCCAGGAGGAUACAGAGAGCCAGGUGCUUUAAUUGGAGGAGCAGAGCACUGUGCCAGCUGCCACUCCCAUCCCCCACCAUGAGGCCUUCAGGCCAGUGGACAACAUGUCUUCAUUCAGAGUCUGAGGCCAUGUCCCUGAGACCCUUCCCUCCAGCCUCAACUCCCAUUCCAGGAGCCUCUGACUCAGGAGAGCACCAGGAAGCCUGCGUGGGCCAGAUGCAAGCCAGGAAGAAGAGGACUAGGAAAGGAGACAGAAGCCUCUAUCCUACCCUCCUGGAACAUAGAGGUAUCCAGCGACAUCAGUCUGGGAGACUGUGCCCAGACUCAGGGACCCUACCAGGAGACUGCUGGGUGACUCCUAAGUCAGGAGUGUUAGCCUUGCCUAGCCUUUCCUUUAAUUAACAAUAAUAAUAGUCAACAUUUCUAUACCUCCUACUGUGUACAAGGCAGUGUUCUGCUUUAGGUAUAUUAUCUCAUUUAAUUCUCACAACAACCCUAAGAGGCCAAUGCUAUUAUUGUCUUCAUUUUACAGAUGGGGAAACCUAGGCACAGAGAGGGUAACUUUCUUUCCCAGAGUCACUCAGCUUGCACACAGCAGAGCUAGGAUUUGGCCCCAGCCAGCCUGCCUUGAGUUUGUGCUCUUACCCACCCCAGAGCACUCUCAGACAGCAUUGCCUGACUUUUCCUGAGCCAGUGCUUCUGAUUCCCCCUGGGGUGUAACAGCUGAUACCCUGUUUAUACCACAACACCUGGGAUGGGAGCUUCACCCAGGGGUG
Non-coding RNA from Chlorocebus sabaeus (green monkey), 1043 nucleotides. Lineage: Eukaryota; Metazoa; Chordata; Mammalia; Primates; Cercopithecidae. The record is from RefSeq and is a predicted model, not a curated record.